RNAcentral lists this ribosomal RNA (386 nucleotides) under uncultured eukaryote. RNAcentral describes it as "partial 18S ribosomal RNA". It matches the Rfam family "Eukaryotic small subunit ribosomal RNA", at positions 592 to 976 of the family's 1831-position model. The record is from RNAcentral.
CAAUAGCGUAUAUUAAUGUUGUUGCAGUUAAAAAGCUCGUAGUUGGAUUUCUGACAGAAGCGACCGGUCCGAACCUUUUAGGUUGGGUACUUUGGUUGUCUUUGGUCAUCCUUGUGGAGAACGUGUGUUGGGCAUUAACUUGUCUCGCAUGGGAUCCACAUCAUUUACUGUGAAAAAAUUAGAGUGUUUAAAGCAGGCAAUCGCUGUGAAUACAUUAGCAUGGAAUAAUAAGAUAGGACUUUAGUAAUAUUUUGUUGGUUUGCAUACUAAGGUAAUGAUUAAGAGGGACAGUUGGGGGUAUUCGUAUUUAAUUGUCAGAGGUGGAAUUCUUGGAUUUAUGAAAGACGAACUACUGCGAAAGCAUUUACCAAGGAUGUUUUCAUUAA